Long non-coding RNA from Osmia bicornis bicornis, 1032 nucleotides. RefSeq lists it as uncharacterized. NCBI's taxonomy places the organism in Eukaryota, Metazoa, Arthropoda, Insecta, Hymenoptera, Megachilidae. The transcript has 2 exons. The record is from RefSeq and is a predicted model, not a curated record.
GUGUAACACAUUCAGGAACGUAGAAGCACCCCCGCCGUACGGAGCUUUAAUGUGCCCCGAGAUCCGCCAAAAACCGCCAUCUUGCUUAGUGACGUCAAGCACACAAGUCGGGGGAAAAAGCAGUAAGAGCACAACUAUAGUUUAUAUAUCCAUUUUUUUUGCACGAUGCGCAUUCGCAUUCACGGCGCAGAACGUCUUACUCUCGUUUUCCAUUCGAAUAUAUUCAUGCACCUGUCAUAGUGACCAUUUCCCUUCUGCACUGAUAACAGAAUUUCUUCUGAAGACCCUUAAGAAGAAACUUGCGUGUUCAAAAGUACAACGCGUUAAACACAGUCCGUUGCCAGUGAAAAGAAAAAUGUCGGAAAUCACCUUGAAGUAAAAUAAUACACUAUGCCACUAGUAGCCCACUACGAGCUGCGUGGAACACGUUCCGCCAGUGUUCAUUACUCAAGGUCGUCCUUCCGAUGUCCCUAACCAAGAAGUGGAAAAGCAACGAGAGUGAAGGAAAAAAAUGACGGUGAGCGCACGUGCGUCUCUUAGCGCGAAACACGUGUCGCGUUUAGCAAAGAGAGGCUCAAGAUGGAGGGGUAUUAUCGAUUCUCGGACAUCGAUGAUCACGCCCUUCGGAACGAGUAUCUUUUUUCUUUCUCUGGCCCGAAUACAUUUCGGGAAUGAUAUUUUAAACAGGAUUUCAACGCGUGUCAAUGGUUUUGGCAUCCAUUAUCUACGCAGCCGGAAGCGGAGACAUUGCGAAGUUCGCUUAAGAAGGAAAACAGAAACCUAAAUAUUACGCGGCUGCCAUAUGCGUCGCAAAUGUUCUGCGCGACUUUCACGCGGAGGUAAAUCUGUUAUCGGGUUAAAAAUAUAUCAGAAAUGUAUCUGACAGAGGAACCCACGAACUUACAAAACUCCGAACUGUCAAUAUGUUGUCAGUGAAAGAAUAUACAGAAAGUAUUUUUCUAUAUGCGGAACAUAAAGAUGUACUCUAACCUCGAAAAUAAAUGUCCGUAUGAAAUCUAAUCUUUACAGAAA